GGGCGCGACGAUUUUGUUGACGGGCGCU
RNAcentral lists this small RNA (28 nucleotides) under Bombyx mori (domestic silkworm). Its description in RNAcentral is "ovarian small RNA-17510". The record is from RNAcentral. Lineage: Eukaryota; Metazoa; Arthropoda; Insecta; Lepidoptera; Bombycidae.